RNAcentral lists this ribosomal RNA (585 nucleotides) under uncultured bacterium. RNAcentral's name for it is "bacterial SSU rRNA". It matches the Rfam family "Bacterial small subunit ribosomal RNA", at positions 202 to 807 of the family's 1533-position model. The record is from RNAcentral.
AAAAACUCCGGUGGUGUGAGAUGGAUCCGCGUCUGAUUAGCCAGUUGGCGGGGUAACGGCCCACCAAAGCGACGAUCAGUAGCCGGCCUGAGAGGGUGACCGGCCACAUUGGGACUGAGACACGGCCCAAACUCCUACGGGAGGCAGCAGUGGGGAAUAUUGCACAAUGGGCGAAAGCCUGAUGCAGCGACGCCGCGUGAGUGAAGAAGUAUUUCGGUAUGUAAAGCUCUAUCAGCAGGGAAGAAAAUGACGGUACCUGACUAAGAAGCCCCGGCUAACUACGUGCCAGCAGCCGCGGUAAUACGUAGGGGGCAAGCGUUAUCCGGAUUUACUGGGUGUAAAGGGAGCGUAGACGGCGAAGCAAGUCUGAAGUGAAAACCCAGGGCUCAACCCUGGGACUGCUUUGGAAACUGUUUUGCUAGAGUGUCGGAGAGGUAAGUGGAAUUCCUAGUGUAGCGGUGAAAUGCGUAGAUAUUAGGAGGAACACCAGUGGCGAAGGCGGCUUACUGGACGAUAACUGACGUUGAGGCUCGAAAGCGUGGGGAGCAAACAGGAUUAGAUACCCUGGUAGUCCACGCCGUAAAC